This 502-nucleotide ribosomal RNA is filed under the name uncultured archaeon. RNAcentral's name for it is "bacterial SSU rRNA". It matches the Rfam family "Archaeal small subunit ribosomal RNA", at positions 860 to 1343 of the family's 1478-position model. The record is from RNAcentral.
GGGGGCACGGGGGGAGGAAUUGGCGGGGGAGCACCGCAACGGGAGGAGCGUGCGGUUUAAUUGGAUUCAACACCGGAAAACUCACCAAGGGCGACUAUUACAUGAAAGCCAGGCUAAUGACCUUGCUUGAUUUUUAGAGAGGUGGUGCAUGGCCGUCGUCAGUUCGUACCGUAAGGCGUUCUCUUAAGUGAGAUAACGAACGAGACCCUCAUCUAUAAUUGCUACUUCAUUCUCCGGAAUGGAGGCACAUUAUCGAGACCGCUGGCGCUAAGUCAGAGGAAGGAGAGGUCAACGGUAGGUCAGUAUGCCCCGAAUCUCUUGGGCUACACGCGCGCUACAAAGGGCGGGACAAUGGGCUACGACGCCGAAAGGCGAAGUCAAUCUCGAAACCCGUCCGUAGUUCGGAUUGAGGCUUGUAACUCAGCCUCAUGAAGCUGGAUUCCGUAGUAAUCGCGAAUCAAAAACUCGCGGUGAAUAUGCCCCUGCUCCUUGCACACACCGC